AGUGAACGCUGGCGGUAGGCCUAACACAUGCAAGUCGAACGGCAGCACAGUAAGAGCUUGCUCUUACGGGUGGCGAGUGGCGGACGGGUGAGGAAUACAUCGGAAUCUACUUUUUCGUGGGGGAUAACGUAAGGAAACUUACGCUAAUACCGCAUACGACCUACGGGUGAAAGCAGGGGAUCUUCGGACCUUGCGCGAUUGAAUGAGCCGAUGUCGGAUUAGCUAGUUGGCGGGGUAAAGGCCCACCAAGUCGACGAUCCGUAGCUGGUCUGAGAGGAUGAUCAGCCACACUGGAACUGAGACACGGUCCAGACUCCUACGGGAGGCAGCAGUGGGGAAUAUUGGACAAUGGGCGCAAGCCUGAUCCAGCCAUACCGCGUGGGUGAAGAAGGCCUUCGGGUUGUAAAGCCCUUUUGUUGGGAAAGAAAAGCAGCAGGUUAAUACCCCGCUGUUCUGACGGUACCCAAAGAAUAAGCACCGGCUAACUUCGUG
This 492-nucleotide ribosomal RNA is filed under the name uncultured bacterium. RNAcentral's name for it is "partial 16S ribosomal RNA". It matches the Rfam family "Bacterial small subunit ribosomal RNA", at positions 29 to 507 of the family's 1533-position model. The record is from RNAcentral.